Molecule: unclassified non-coding RNA, 343 nt
Filed under: soil metagenome
Description: partial contains 5.8S ribosomal RNA, internal transcribed spacer 2, and large subunit ribosomal RNA
Rfam family: 5.8S ribosomal RNA (bases 1-120)
Source: RNAcentral
GAUGAAGAACGUAGCGAAAUGCGAUAAGUAAUGUGAAUUGCAGAAUUCAGUGAAUCAUCGAAUCUUUGAACGCACAUUGCGCCCGCUAGUAUUCUGGCGGGCAUGCCUGUCCGAGCGUCAUUUCAACCCUCAAGCCCCCGGGCUUGGUGUUGGGGAUCGGCGAGCCUCCGCGCCCGCCGUCCCCUAAAUCUAGUGGCGGUCUCGCUGUAGCUUCCUCUGCGUAGUAGCACACCUCGCACUGGGAAACAGCGCGGCCACGCCGUUAAACCCCCAACUUCUGAACGUUUGACCUCGGAUCAGGUAGGAUUACCCGCUGAACUUAAGCAUAUCAAUAAGCGGAGGA